This 301-nucleotide ribosomal RNA is filed under the name uncultured bacterium. RNAcentral describes it as "partial 16S ribosomal RNA". It matches the Rfam family "Bacterial small subunit ribosomal RNA", at positions 509 to 807 of the family's 1533-position model. The record is from RNAcentral.
CAGCCGCCACGGUAAUACGAGGGGGGCAAGCGUUGUUCGGAAUUAUUGGGCGUAAAGGGUGCGUAGGCGGUUUGAUAAGUCUGAUGUGAAAUCUCUGGGCUCAACCCAGAGUCUGCAUCGGAAACUGUCGGGCUUGAGUAUGGGAGAGGUGAGUGGAAUUUCCGGUGUAGCGGUGAAAUGCGUAGAUAUCGGAAGGAACACCUGUGGCGAAAGCGGCUCACUGGACCAUUACUGACGCUGAUGCACGAAAGCUAGGGGAGCAAACAGGAUUAGAUACCCCAGUAGUCCCUGUCUCUUAUAC